CAUCUCUCAACCGGGAUUCCAAUAGUUAAAACAUAAAUGCCUGAUGAGGUUGGAGAAUACAUGACAAGGGAUCUGAGACCGUUCCUCCAUACAGAAUCUCUCCAGAUCCUUCAAAUCUCAUGGUCCAUGCUGGUGGACUCUCCUCUUCAGUUCACCCCACAGGUAUUCUAAGGGUUUCGAGUCAGGGGACUGGGAUGGCCAUGGCAGGACCUUGAUUUUGUGGUCAGUAAACCAUUUUUGUGUUUAUUUUGUGUAUGUUUUGGAUCAUUGUCCUGCUGGAAGAUCCAACCACGGCCCAUUUUAAUCUUUCUGGCAGAGGCAGUCAGGUUUUCAUUUAAUAUCUGUUGAUAUUUGAUAGAGUCCAUGAUGCCAUGUAUCCUAACAAAAUCUGGCAGAAAAACAGCCCAAAACAUUAAAGAACCACCACCAUAUUUAACCGUGGCCAUGAGGUACUUUCCACAUGGCUACCUCUCUGUGUGCGCCAAAACUACCUCUGGUGUUUAUUGCCAAAAAGCUCUAUUCUGGUUUCAUCUGACCAUAGAACCCGAUCCCAUUUGAAGUUCCAGUAGUGUCUUGACAAACUGAAGUGAGUUUGUUUUUGGAUGAGAGUAGAGGCGUUUUUCUUGAAACCCUUCCAAACAACUUGUGGUGAUGUACAGUUGCAAUCAAAAGUAUUCAGCCCCCAUUGGAAAUAAGGUUUAUUGUUUAUUUAUUCAUUGUGUUGAACUAUUUAACUAUUUGUUUUAUUUGUUCAUAGCAAACAGCUGAAAGUCUGUAAAUUUUGAAAAUAAACCCGAUUUGCAGUGGGCUUUGAAUAAUUUUGAUUGCAAUUGUAGGUGACAUCAGAUUGUAGUUUUGGAGACUUUCUGACCCUAAGACACAACUAACUUCUGCAAUUCUCCAGCUGUGAUCCUUGCAGAGUUUUUGGCACUCGAACCGUCCUCUUCACAGUGCGUUGAGACAAUAUAGACACAGGUCUAAUUCCCGGUUGAUUCAUAACAUUUCCAGUUGACUGGAACUUGUUAAUGAUUGACCCGAUGGUGGAAAUGGACAUUUUCAAUGCUUCUGCUAUUUUCUUAUAGCCACUUGCCAUUUUGUGAAGCUCAAAAACCUUUUGCCGCACAUCACAGCUAUAGUCCUUGGUCUUACCCAUUGUUAUGAAUGACUAAGGGAAUUUGGCCUAUGUGCUACCUCAUAUUUAUAGCCCUGUAAACAAGAAGUCAUGGUUGAAGUCAUUGUCCUGUUCCUAGUCACCCAGGUGUACUAAAAAAUGUUAAAUAUCAAUGGGAAUAUACUUCAAAUCAAUUUUUCUCAUAUUAUUUCAUAGGGAUGCUGAUAAUUGUUGCACACCAAUAUUUAAGAAUUAUUGUUAUUUUUUAGAAACCUGUGUUGUGUUUGCAAUUGCUUGAUCUCCAUGAGAGAAUUUUUGUGGAUUUUUUUGAACAAUCAAAUGGUUAAACAAGAAAGACAAUUUUUCACAGGCUUCUUUGCUUAGUGGAGGGCACUGUAUAUUACCUUUUCCGCAGUUCCCUAAUCCUCCAGAUUUUGGGCUUUCAUGUGCCGUUAUGGUGUAAAUAAUUUUUAUUUUUUUUACUGGCAAAACAACUUUCACUUCUGAGAAAGUCUCUUUCAGGUCUGGUGGUAUCAUCAAAUCCCUAUCAGCUGUGCCAUGUACACAUCUGCUAAUUUACAGAUGAUUGGCAUUCAACAACAGCAACACGUGAGUAUGAAGCAAAUCAGCGUUUACGAAACGUUUGUAAAUCUGGCCGAAAUCUCUAGUUCAGCUUGGCUUAUGCAAACAUUUAAACAAGACUUUACUAAAAGACUGAUGAAGGUGAACACAGGACAGCACUAUCUAGCACUAACUAGUUCAAGAACUGGGUGCAAAAUAUAACAUGCACAUUAAAAUAAAAUCAAAUGAUCAUUUUAGUCUGUGUAUGUUUGAAGGUAAACAUGUUCACAACUCUCCAACAGUAAAUUAAAUGAAGUUUAAAUACAGUUGAUAUUUGUAUAGUUUAUUUACAUUAGAAUACAAUCCCAUCCUAUAAAUACAAUCUUCUUAAACAUGCCUCAAAACAUGGCAUGCUUAGUUCAACUAAAUCCUUACAUUACUUCAAAAUCUUUCCUCACAAUCGGCUUUGUUGAAUUCAGUUUUUUUCAUACUGAAUUCUUUUAUCAAUGUUAGCAAAAUAAAAUCAUGCAAAGCAAAACUAUAAUGUAUGAAAAUUCAGCUGAUAUUAAUGUGGUGUGAUUACAGUGAUCUGUUCUUGUAUGGAGCAAAGAUAACAUUCAUAAUGGCAGG
Ictalurus punctatus (channel catfish) is the source of this 2302-nucleotide long non-coding RNA. RefSeq lists it as uncharacterized. The transcript has 2 exons. NCBI's taxonomy places the organism in Eukaryota, Metazoa, Chordata, Actinopteri, Siluriformes, Ictaluridae. The record is from RefSeq and is a predicted model, not a curated record.